GACGAACGCUGGCGGCGUGCUUAACACAUGCAAGUCGAACGGAAAGGCCCUGCUUUUGUGGUGUGCUCGAUUGGCGAUCGGGUGCGUAACACGUGUGUAACCUGCCCUUGUCUUUCGGAUAACUUCAGGUAACUGGGGCUACUACCGUAUAGGAUCUCCUGCUGCAUGGUGGGCGUUGGAUCGUUUCGGCGGUUGGGGAUGUACUCGCGGCUUAUCCGUUUGUUUGUGGGGUAGUGGCUUACCAAGGCUUUGACGGGUAGCCGACAUGUGAGGGUGACCGGCGACAAUGGGACUGAGAGACGGCCCAGACUGCAACGGGAGGCAACAGUGGGGAAUAUUGCACAAUGGGCGGAAGCCUGAUGCAGCAACGCCGCGGGCGGGAUGACGGCCUUCGGGGUGAAAAACGCAUUCGCCUGUGACGAAGCGUGAGUGACGGUAAUGGGUAAAGAAGCACCGGCUAACUACGUG
This 468-nucleotide ribosomal RNA is filed under the name uncultured bacterium. Its description in RNAcentral is "partial 16S ribosomal RNA". It matches the Rfam family "Bacterial small subunit ribosomal RNA", at positions 28 to 507 of the family's 1533-position model. The record is from RNAcentral.